This 337-nucleotide ribosomal RNA is filed under the name uncultured Flavobacteriaceae bacterium. RNAcentral's name for it is "bacterial SSU rRNA". It matches the Rfam family "Bacterial small subunit ribosomal RNA", at positions 147 to 482 of the family's 1533-position model. Lineage: Bacteria; Pseudomonadati; Bacteroidota; Flavobacteriia; Flavobacteriales; Flavobacteriaceae. The record is from RNAcentral.
UCAAGAGAAAUUUUGAAUAAUACCCCAUACGAUCUGAUUCACUCCUGUGAAACAGAAGAAAAUUCCGAUGGUAAAAGAUGGGCAUGCGUCCUAUUAGUUUGUUGGUGAGGUAACGGCUCACCAAGACUACGAUAGGUAGGGGUCCUGAGAGGGAGAUCCCCCACACUGGUACUGAGACACGGACCAGACUCCUACGGGAGGCAGCAGUGAGGAAUAUUGGACAAUGGAGGCAACUCUGAUCCAGCCAUGCCGCGUGCAGGAAGACGGCCCUAUGGGUUGUAAACUGCUUUUAUACAGGAAGAAACGUUAGUACGUGUACUAGCCUGACGGUACUGUA